ACAGGAGACGCUGGCGGCGUGCCUAAUACAUGCAAGUCGAACGGUCUUUCUAUGGAAGCUUGCUUCCACUGAGAAGAUAGUGGCGAACGGGUGAGUAACACGUGGGUAACCUACCCAUAAGAGGGGGGAUAACAUCCGGAAACGGGUGCUAAUACCGCAUAGUUUUCUUGAUCGCAUGAUUGAGAAAGGAAAGACGGCCUUUGUGCUGUCGCUUAUGGAUGGACCCGCGGCGUAUUAGUUAGUUGGUGAGGUAACGGCUCACCAAGACGAUGAUACGUAGCCGACCUGAGAGGGUGAUCGGCCACAUUGGGACUGAGACACGGCCCAAACUCCUACGGGAGGCAGCAGUAGGGAAUCUUCCGCAAUGGACGAAAGUCUGACGGAGCAACGCCGCGUGAGUGAAGAAAGGUUUUCGGAUCGUAAAACUCUGUUGUCAGAGAAGAACAAGUUGGAGAGUAACUGCUCCAGCCUUGACGGUAUCUGACCAGAAAGCCACGGCUAACUACGUGCCAGCAGCCGC
Molecule: ribosomal RNA, 520 nt
Filed under: uncultured bacterium
Lineage: Bacteria
Description: bacterial SSU rRNA
Rfam family: Bacterial small subunit ribosomal RNA
Source: RNAcentral